Molecule: ribosomal RNA, 500 nt
Filed under: uncultured bacterium
Lineage: Bacteria
Description: partial 16S ribosomal RNA
Rfam family: Bacterial small subunit ribosomal RNA
Source: RNAcentral
ACUCAAAUGAAUUGACGGGGACCCGCACAAGCAGUGGAGCAUGUGGUUUAAUUCGAUGCAACGCGAAGAACCUUACCCAGGUUUGACAUGCACUAGACAGGAGCAGAAAUGUUCCCUUCCUUCGGGACUAGUGCACAGGUGCUGCAUGGCUGUCGUCAGCUCGUGCCGUGAGGUGUUUGGUUAAGUCCAGCAACGAGCGCAACCCUUAUGACUAGUUGCCAACACGUAAUGGUGGGAACUCUAGUCAGACUGCCCGGGUUAACCGGGAGGAAGGUGAGGAUGACGUCAAGUCCGCAUGGCCCUUAUAUCUGGGGCUACACACGUGCUACAAUGGUCGGUACAAUGGGCAGCAGAACCGCGAGGCGAAGCAAAUCCCUAUAAAGCCGAUCCCAGUUCAGAUUGUAGUCUGCAACUCGACUACAUGAAGAUGGAAUUGCUAGUAAUGGCGUGUCAGCAACAACGCCGUGAAUACGUUCCCGGGUCUUGUACACACCGCCCGU